Solanum lycopersicum (tomato) is the source of this 304-nucleotide long non-coding RNA. RefSeq lists it as uncharacterized. Lineage: Eukaryota; Viridiplantae; Streptophyta; Magnoliopsida; Solanales; Solanaceae. The record is from RefSeq and is a predicted model, not a curated record.
CGCAAUUCUCUUGAAAAAGUGCGUGAAUACUCUUAGUUUUCAUCCAAUCUUUCCCAAAAUAGGAAAAGCACGAGUUUUAGGUCAGCAUGUUCUAUCUUCGUCUGUGAGUUGAUUUUCAUCUGAUCGAUUCUUAGCUUCUUGUUGUUUCUGGAGAAUUGAUGGAUAGUACACUUUUGGGAUUUUUGUAGAUUGAAUUUACAAGUGAAGAUUAAAGUUUAGAAGAUGCACAAGUUCAUUAUUAUUUUGCGAAGAUCAUUAUGUAAAAGUUAACAUACUCUAGCUUGGGAUGUUAGUUGAUUAAGUA